RNAcentral lists this unclassified non-coding RNA (345 nucleotides) under soil metagenome. Its description in RNAcentral is "partial contains 5.8S ribosomal RNA, internal transcribed spacer 2, and large subunit ribosomal RNA". The stretch from base 1 to 120 matches the Rfam family "5.8S ribosomal RNA", at positions 35 to 154 of the family's 154-position model. The record is from RNAcentral.
GAUGAAGAACGCAGCGAAAUGCGAAACGUAAUGUGAAUUGCAGAAUUCAGUGAAUCAUCGAGUCUUUGAACGCACAUUGCGCCCCCUGGUAUUCCGGGGGGCAUGCCUGUCCGAGCGUCAUUGCUGCCCUCAAGCACGGCUUGUGUGUUGGGCCUCCGUCCUCCUCCCGGGGGACGGGCCCGAAAGGCAGCGGCGGCACCGCGUCCGGUCCUCGAGCGUAUGGGGCUUCGUCACCCGCUCUUGUAGGCCCGGCCGGCGCUUGCCGACACAUCAAUCUUUUUUCCAGGUUGACCUCGGAUCAGGUAGGGAUACCCGCUGAACUUAAGCAUAUCAAUAAGCGGAGGA